RNAcentral lists this ribosomal RNA (439 nucleotides) under uncultured bacterium. RNAcentral's name for it is "partial 16S ribosomal RNA". It matches the Rfam family "Bacterial small subunit ribosomal RNA", at positions 339 to 795 of the family's 1533-position model. The record is from RNAcentral.
CUACGGGUGGCACCAGUGGGGAAUUUUGCGCAAUGGGGGAAACCCUGACGCAGCAAUACCGCGUGAGUGAAGAAGGCCUUUGGGUCGUAAAGCUCUUUUCUUGGGGAAGAUAGUGACGGUACCCAAGGAAUAAGCACCGGCUAACUCCGUGCCAGCAGCCGCGGUAAUACGGAGGGUGCAAGCGUUGUUCGGAUUUACUGGGCGUAAAGGGCACGUAGGCGGCACAGCAAGUUAAGGGUGAAAUCCCGGGGCUCAACUCCGGAACUGCUCUUAAAACUGCUGAGCUAGAGAUAGUCAGAGGCGGGUGGAAUUCCAGGUGUAGAGGUGAAAUUCGUAGAUAUCUGGAGGAACACCGGUGGCGAAGGCGGCCCGCUGGGGCUAUUCUGACACUAAGGUGCGAAAGCGUGGGGAGCAAACGGGAUUAGAUACCCUGGUAGUC